CGCAGUCGCGGAGGCUGCCCGACGGGUACAAUGAACCUCGAUCAACUGUCGCAGUUUCUCGCCACGGUAGUGCGCCGGCACACCGCACGCGAGGAGAGCAUUGGCGCCAAACGUCGACUUGUGGCGCUAUACCGUGGCGAUGCCAACGGCGACGGCGCUCGGUCACUCCCCGUCGCUUCGCUCAAGACGCUCUACACGGACUUUGAGGUACGUGAGCUGCCCGCCUUUUACGGCGAUGGUGCUCCCCUUGUGCUCGAGCUAGGCGGCAGUGCCUCAAUCAAGAGUGCAGAUGAUUCUGCACCGAAUGGCGUAAUCAUCAGCUCCCUCAAGCGUUCUCGUGACGCGCAGGAGGACCACGGUAAAACGGUAGUCGCGCCAAAGGUCGCGGAGGCGGGCGCGCCGGUACCGUGCAGCACCGUCGAGGAAGUGAUCGGACCCCUGAUCAGCACCGAGGACCUUGCGAAUCUGCGUACCGGACUGGCCGGUGCGGCCAAGUCGAUUCCGCUGCCGAGUGUCACCGACAAGGAGAAGCGCGCCGCGCUUCACAAGGCCAUCAAGACGUGUCUCGGCGGCACGCACGUGAGCAACACGGUGGAUGGGGUCGUGACCGUCUUCAAGGCAAACGCGGCCGACCGCCGGGAAGAGCGUCGCCGCUCUCGCGCCAACCGCCCAGAGCCGAAGUACCACCACUUCACGCUUUACAAGGAGAACACGGACAACAACCAGGCGCUGCGCAUGCUCGCCCACCACCUGAAGCUCUCCUCGCGACAGCUGCAGUUCUGCGGCACCAAGGACAAGCGGGCCGUCACGCUGCAGCGCGUUGCUGUACGCGAAACAACAGUGGAGCGACUCAUGACGAUCAACAGUCGCGCCUUCGGAGCACACAACGUCAUCAAGGUAUGCGGCUUCACGGAGGAGAAGCACGGGUUGCGCCUCGGCGACGCUCUCGGGAACCACUUUCGUAUUGUUCUCCGAAUGUUCCCUGCCGCGCCGUCGGCUGCCGAAGGCGAGACUUCCGUGUGCCACGCGCUUACGGCGCAGGACCUGCACGAGGUAGAACGCGUCGUGCAAGAGGUGGGGGUCAUCAACUACUUUGGCCCUCAGCGCUUCGGCACGACAAGCGUCUUGACCAGUGACGUUGGCGUCCAGUUCCUGCAGGGGCGCCUUCGCGAGGGCCUUCGCCUGAUCCUGGAGUCCAAAGCGCGCAUGGUGCCGGAGAUGCAGCGGGUAGUGGAGCUCUUCGACGCGAGCGACUACGUGGCAGCGCUACAGGCGGCGCCGUACUAUUGCUACCAGGAGCGCGACAUCCUCAAACACCUGUCGACGAAUCCGAACGACUACCUGGGCUCGUUGCAGGCCCUCUCACGUACCAUGGGGAUGAUGUACUUUCACUCUGUGCAGAGUCUUGUAUGGAACCUACUGGCCUCGUCGCGGCUGUCCGACAAGGGUCGAGCACACGCCGAGGUGGGUGAUCUCGUGCUUGAAUCGACGUAUCAGGAGCGCGUGGCGGCCAGGGAUGCGCAACCAACGCCGAACUUCGACGACUCCAAGCUGCCUGCUGCCCGUCGUCUGACCAGCGAAGACGACUGCGCGCGUUUUGGCCUCGAGGACGUCCUUCUGCCGAUCCCAGGGCCAGAUCAAGAUCUCGUGUACCCCUCCUCGUUUGGCUGCACGCGAGACGACUAUGAUGCUGUGCUCGCGGCGCUGGGCAUCGACUUUGCGUCGAAGGAGGCGCUGGCGCUGAUGAAGGUGUUUCACUUCCACGGCACGUACCGUGCGCUGGGGGUGCGACCCAAGGGCUUCUCACUGCGUGCGGAGACAGUGGCUGGCUGGCGAACCCCUGUGCUGAAGUCCGACUGGGAGAAACACUGCGACGCAGAAGGUAUCGUGACACCGGCGGUCAGCAGCGCCGGCAACGCGGCAUCGGUGCUGGAGCCGACGGGACCGGUGCAAGUCGUGGUCGCCACCUUCUCACUGCCACCCGGCAGCUACGCGACGAGUGUGCUACGAGAGUUUUGCAUUCCUACGACGGAGAACGGUCAAGGCAAAGACUCAGGGACGGAGGAUGAGUAAAGCAGCCGUGGCGACGCCCUGUCACACGAUGGGUGGCAGGCAGGUCGCGACGCUGGUUUUCACCAGCGGCCCACAAGCCGUUGCGUCGUCACGCGCUCGUUGCGCCUCUGCCGCCUCUGUCGUUCCAUCGCAUUGCUGUCACUGACUCCUCUGGCGCAUGCCAUGUGAUGGAGUCAACGUGCAAGUAAGGCCCUAGAAGACUCUCUCGCGCUGCAGCAUGUUUCUUUUUUUUUGUCGUUGCCUCUUCUGGAGCUGCACCGGCGUC
Molecule: unclassified non-coding RNA, 2338 nt
Filed under: Leishmania donovani
Lineage: Eukaryota; Euglenozoa; Kinetoplastea; Trypanosomatida; Trypanosomatidae
Description: gene:LdHU3.36.7920(CDS-product:tRNA_pseudouridine _synthase_TruD_putative)
Source: RNAcentral